RNAcentral lists this transfer RNA (73 nucleotides) under Paramuricea clavata. It matches the Rfam family "tRNA". From Rfam's summary of the family: Transfer RNA (tRNA) molecules are approximately 80 nucleotides in length. Their secondary structure includes four short double-helical elements and three loops (D, anti-codon, and T loops). The record is from Rfam by way of RNAcentral. Lineage: Eukaryota; Metazoa; Cnidaria; Anthozoa; Malacalcyonacea; Plexauridae.
GACCGCGUAGCUCAGUUGGAAGAGCAUUGGGCUAGUAUUCAAAAGGUCGUAGGUUCGAAUCCCACCGUGGCUG